UCAAGUUCAAAACAAAAAACUCUUUGGAAUUUUGAUUGCGAUUUUGCUUAAAAUUAGAGAUUACUUUGGGGAGAAUAGUGGUCUUUGCAAUUUUGAAUCUUCCUACCCAAGAACAUGAAAAACAGGAUGAAGUUGUCUAUUACGAUCCAUGUGAAAGUCCAGAGGAACUUAGUCAUUGACUGUGGUGGGGCUGCAGGACGAUAAGAAUUUGGAAGUGAAAGAACUCAGAAGGCAGUGCCAGCAGCUGGAGUCUAUUAAACGGGGCAGGAUCUGUGUCAAAAGAGCUUCUCUCCAGAGUAGAAAGGAUCAGUGCAAAGAAAAUCAUUGGCUCAGAUUGCAACAGGCUGAAGAAAGCAUAAGAUAUUCUCGUCAGCAUCACAGUAUUCAGAUGAAAAGAGACAAGAUAAAAAGGAGCAAAAGAAAAAAGAAUGGAUCAACCAAGAAAGUCAAACACUCCAACGAUUGAGAGCAUUUAAAGAUGUAAGUUCUGUAAACAAUCACCUCAUCUACACUUCUGGGGAAUUAUGAAGACCGCUCUAAAGAGGAAAGUAUUAAGAACAGGUCAUUCAGAACGUGAAACAUUUAAAAAGUAACAUUAUUUCUGGUAUAUCAAUAAAAAGCAACAACAAAAAUAGAAUAUCAGUGAUUCAAAACCCAUGAUAUAAAAUAACUGCUGUUUUUGACAUCACAACACGCUUGGGUUCCUGCUCUGCACUCUUCACUGAGUAGUCCUUACUGGCACUGGUGGUUUAGAUUGGCAGGGAAAACUGAAAACUGUUCAACUCCCUUGACUUUAGCUGGCAUUUCCUCUCAUUUGUAAUAAACAAUUCUUUAAAAUGUUAUCCAGGCAGCAUUGUGAUAUAAGUGUAGUGAAAGUGCCCAGUUAAAAGUAAAAUGUGUUGUUUUUUUUUUU
Molecule: long non-coding RNA, 913 nt
Filed under: Pan troglodytes (chimpanzee)
Lineage: Eukaryota; Metazoa; Chordata; Mammalia; Primates; Hominidae
Description: long non-coding RNA NONPTRT005573
Source: RNAcentral